GACGAACGCUGGCGGCGUGCCUAAUACAUGCAAGUUGAGCGCUGAAGGUUGGUACUUGUACCGACUGGAUGAGCAGCGAACGGGUGAGUAACGCGUGGGGAAUCUGCCUUUGAGCGGGGGACAACAUUUGGAAACGAAUGCUAAUACCGCAUAAAAACUUUAAACACAAGUUUUAAGUUUGAAAGAUGCAAUUGCAUCACUCAAAGAUGAUCCCGCGUUGUAUUAGCUAGUUGGUGAGGUAAAGGCUCACCAAGGCGAUGAUACAUAGCCGACCUGAGAGGGUGAUCGGCCACAUUGGGACUGAGACACGGCCCAAACUCCUACGGGAGGCAGCAGUAGGGAAUCUUCGGCAAUAGACGAAAGUCUGACCGAGCAACGCCGCGUGAGUGAAGAAGGUUUUCGGAUCGUAAAACUCUGUUGGUAGAGAAGGACGUUGGUGAGAGUGGAAAGCUCAUCAAGUGACGGUAACUACCCAGAAAGGGACGGCUAACUACGUG
Molecule: ribosomal RNA, 497 nt
Filed under: uncultured bacterium
Lineage: Bacteria
Description: partial 16S ribosomal RNA
Rfam family: Bacterial small subunit ribosomal RNA
Source: RNAcentral